CUACGGGCGGCACCAGUGGGGAAUAUUGGGCAAUGCACGAAAGUGUGAUCCAGCAAUGCCGCGUGAGUGAAGAAGGCCUUAGGGUUGUAAAGCUCUUUUACCAGGGAUGAUAAUGACAGUACCUGGAGAAUAAGCUCCGGCUAACUCCGUGCCAGCAGCCGCGGUAAUACGGAGGGAGCUAGCGUUGUUCGGAAUUACUGGGCGUAGAGCGCGCGUAGGCGGCUUUUCAAGUCAGAGGUGAAAUCCCGGGGCUUAACCCCGGAACUGCCUUUGAAACUGGAUGGCUAGAAUCUUGGAGAGGUGAGUGGAAUUCCGAGUGUAGAGGUGAAAUUCGUAGAUAUUCGGAAGAACACCAGUGGCGAAGGCGACUCACUGGACAAGUAUUGACGCUGAGGUGCGAAAGCGUGGGGAGCCAACAGGAUUAGAUACCCUAGUAGUC
Molecule: ribosomal RNA, 439 nt
Filed under: uncultured bacterium
Lineage: Bacteria
Description: partial 16S ribosomal RNA
Rfam family: Bacterial small subunit ribosomal RNA
Source: RNAcentral